Molecule: long non-coding RNA, 1256 nt
Filed under: Ficedula albicollis (Collared flycatcher)
Lineage: Eukaryota; Metazoa; Chordata; Aves; Passeriformes; Muscicapidae
Description: lncRNA (ENSFALG00000024205.1)
Source: RNAcentral
AUGCAACUUUCCUGCGUGGUGGCUGGGACACUUGUUAGGCACUUGUGGGCUGGGGAUGGUUCCCGUUCACUGCGCGAACCUGCGACUCAAAGCCGUGUCCCGGCUGGAAUGCGCGGGCGGUGCAGACGCUGCUGCCACCACCCGCGGCUCGUACGGGACAUUGCCCUGCGUGCCGAGGAAAGGUUGAGUCUGCCUUGCUCUCAGGUACCGGCUUCCAUGUGCAAGACAACAUAUGAGGAGCUCAGUGUGGGACCCUUAAAGCAGAUUGUGACAUAGACUUUGGCUGUAUUUUUCACAACUGCUGAAGCUAGAAAUCCAAGCGGAUGCCUGUGCCACCACCGCCGCCACCACCUCCUCCUCCACCACCUCCACCACCUUCUGGAGGGCCCCCUCCACCACCACCACCACUGGUAAGACUGACUUUUAUUUCUAUGGGCAAAAGCUUAGCUGUAGCAGCCACCUUAGAGCCCACAGGAUUUUGGCAUGGAUAUUCAUAGCAAAUAUCUGAGGCAGAUGUUUGUUUUGCUGGCGCUGGUUCUUCUGUUCAUUACAGCAGUGGUCUCCAAAGUGGGGUGUGUGGGAUGAUCCGUUGGUGUGUGGGAUAAAAAUACUGGAACCUCAGUCAUACAUGUGUAUACUUUAUAAAGAAAUAAACCUAUGUAUAUUGGCAUGCGUGCUCAAAAAUUUUAUUGCUAGGAGUGCACGAUGAAAAAGUUUUGAGAUUAUUAGAGUGCAUAUGGUGAAAAUAUAGCAUUUGUGAAUACUUUUCCAGCCAAAGGGAAUUCAUUUUUGUAUUGGUAAUAUACAGAUGGUAAGUAUUAAUUUCUCCAUCCUUCUUACAGCUCCUAUUAAGACUCACAGUGUGCAGCCGUACAUUUUGCCCUUUCUAGCACACUGUAUCUUCCUGGGGAUACAGCACAAUAUUCUUUUGUACAUGUGCAGGAACAAUUACAGCUUGUAACAGAUCAUUACUGUAUGUGUCAUGAAGUAGAACAUGUGCCUUGCCAGCAUGUUUGCAAUAAGAGGAGGAUGUUCUGGGUGAACUUUCAGGGUAUUACAUUUUCAUACCUUCACAAUCAAUUAUUGUACCUAUGGUAAAACCUAUUUAAGUAAUUCCUUGAAUUCUAUGAUUAGUUGAUCAUAACCUGUUUCUGCAUUGAAAUUCUUAGACUUUUUUUGAAAGAGUGGAACCUGGCACAGUUGUGUUCAAGUCAUAAAAUCUCUCCUGAUUUUUUUUCAUGUAUUUUUCUGUCACU